GGAGGAUGUGGAUCGAAAGAGAAAAAGCUGCCAGGUAUGCAAUAAUCAUGUUCUUGCUCUGUGCUUGUAGGAACAUUUGGCAGGUAAAAGAUGGAAUAAAGGANNNUCACAGGAAUUAGCCACAGAGAAAUAUUUCCUGCAACUUCAACAAUACUUUCAUCUUGGCCUAAAGCCCUCAAAAUAUGGGUUGUGAAGAUGAACAAAGGAAGGAGGAGGAUCGCGCAAAUUAUUAACACUAUCCAUGAUCUUUGGAGAUAAAUUCCAAGCAUGUGAUAUUGUUUUGCACCAUAGGAUUGCCCACAUAGAGUUUCUAAUGCACUAGCCAUGCCCAGCAGGAUUCCAUUAGCAAACCUCAAAAGAACAGUGAAGACAAGGGAAUAAGCAGCAAGUUCUGUGGAUCCAAUGUGGCCAACAAAAGCUUGACUAAUUACAUUAAUCCCAAAGGUAGAAAACCUAGUGAAAAUAGCAGGGCCAGCAACAAUCCACAUCUUCUUGGUUUCUGUCCAUAGCUUGUCCUUGAACUUCACUUCCUCAACUUCAGAAUUCUCCGCUUCUGUCAAAAGUUUUUCGUUGAUCUCUC
RNAcentral lists this unclassified non-coding RNA (580 nucleotides) under Hevea brasiliensis (rubber tree). Lineage: Eukaryota; Viridiplantae; Streptophyta; Magnoliopsida; Malpighiales; Euphorbiaceae. The record is from RNAcentral.